RNAcentral lists this ribosomal RNA (516 nucleotides) under Salmonella enterica subsp. enterica serovar Oranienburg. Its description in RNAcentral is "partial 23S ribosomal RNA". It matches the Rfam family "Bacterial large subunit ribosomal RNA", at positions 677 to 1191 of the family's 2925-position model. Lineage: Bacteria; Pseudomonadati; Pseudomonadota; Gammaproteobacteria; Enterobacterales; Enterobacteriaceae. The record is from RNAcentral.
CCGAGUCUUAACCGGGCGUUAAGUUGCAGGGUAUAGACCCGAAACCCGGUGAUCUAGCCAUGGGCAGGUUGAAGGUUGGGUAACACUAACUGGAGGACCGAACCGACUAAUGUUGAAAAAUUAGCGGAUGACCUGUGGCUGGGGGUGAAAGGCCAAUCAAACCGGGAGAUAGCUGGUUCUCCCCGAAAGCUAUUUAGGUAGCGCCUCGUGAAUUCAUCUCCGGGGGUAGAGCACUGUUUCGGCUAGGGGGCCAUCCCGGCUUACCAACCCGAUGCAAACUGCGAAUACCGGAGAAUGUUAUCACGGGAGACACACGGCGGGUGCUAACGUCCGUCGUGAAGAGGGAAACAACCCAGACCGCCAGCUAAGGUCCCAAAGUCAUGGUUAAGUGGGAAACGAUGUGGGAAGGCCCAGACAGCCAGGAUGUUGGCUUAGAAGCAGCCAUCAUUUAAAGAAAGCGUAAUAGCUCACUGGUCGAGUCGGCCUGCGCGGAAGAUGUAACGGGGCUAAACCAUG